GAGGCGGAUCUCGCGCCGCCCGGAUCCUGGUGCGGUCGUGCCGUUGCGGGGCGCAGCCGGUAGCGCGGAGCUCCGGGGCCUGGAGCGAUGUCGGGUGGCUGAGAUUGGAGCCGCGGAGUUGCUGUGUCGGUGCUCUGGUGUUUGCCGGUUGCGGUUCUGGUGCUCGGUGAGGGGUCAGGGAGGGACGCGGAGGGGGCGGUGUGGUCGGUGAAGCCGUGCUGCGUGCAGCCCCGGGGCUUGGAGCCGCGUGGGGUCAUUGAGUGGCGCUGUGCGAGGGGGCUGCGGCCGUAAUGUUCGGUUGGGAGCCCAGUAGGUAGCAGCUCUAUAAACUGAGUGCUCGGCUGGCCCUAAUGCCCAGCUGCGUGCGUGCUUCUCCUAGCCCGAGUGCCCAGAGCCCCAGCGGCUGUUAGUUCUGAGCAGCCUACCGGCUGCAGCCCCUGCUGCCCGCUCCUCGCAGCCUGCUGGCCCAGAGGUGGUUCGGCUGAGGCCCGGUGUUUGCAGCCCCGAUACCAAAUCCAGAUCGCAGAGCCUGACCGCAGAACCCCACCGCUGCUGCACCAUGCCGUGCCGCCGUGAGAUGCUGGCCCUGGUGGCCGUGCUGGGCUGGCUGCUGGUGCUGCUGCUGGACCUGCAGGUGCUGGCGCUGCUGUGUGGGACCGCAGCAGUGCUGGGUGGGUGGCUGGGACCCCGAGCUCUGAGCAGGCCAGGCUGGAGGCUGCGCUUAGAGCGCUUUGCUGGAUCCCUGCGGCCGACGGCACACAGCCCUGAGGCAGAGGAGCGGCUGGAGCAGGAAAUCAGCAGCACCGUCAGGAAAGUGGUGAGGGACUUCGUCUCCUCCUGGUAUCGCACUGUCAGCAGUGAGCGCGCCUUUGAGGCUGAGGUGGAGAAGGCCAUGAUGGGGCUGGCAGCUGAGCUGAGGCGGCGGAUGGCACGGGUUGACCGCCAGGCUCUGGCCCGCCGGCUGCUCCUGCUGUGCGGCCGUCACCUGCAGAGCUACCUGCAGGCCCUACGGGGCCAUGGGCUGCUGUGGGAGGAGUACCGCCGGGUCGCGGGCCUGCAUCCAGCCCUCUGCAGCCCAGCGGCUGAGGCGAGCUAUGCCCGUGCCUCUGUGGAGCUGCUGCUGCAGGCUUUGGUGCCUCGGCCCCACCUGGAGACGCGGACGGGUCGCUUUGUGGUGGUGGAGCUGGUGGCCUGUAACGUGCUGCUGCCCGCCAUCAGGAAGAUGGCUGACCCCGACUGGAUCAACCUGCUGCUGGUUGGGGCCUUCCCCAGGAAGGCACAGGGUGAGGAGCCCAGCCCUGCAGUUCCAGUGCCAGACUCUCUGCCUCUCACAGUUCAGCUGGGUGCUGCCCCAGCAGUACCGCUUCUAUCCCCAUCACCUGGGCGAGAAGCAGGGGCUGGUGGCGAGGAUGGUGUGGAUGUGCCGUGUGAGCCACCCUGUAGUGACGGGGUUGUCUUGAGGCCACGAGGCCUGGGCUUGCUGUUCCCUUAUGAGGGUUUGGAGCUGGAUUCUCCAGGCCAGGAUGUGGAGCUGCUGGCACCAUCACCUGCUGGGGAGUUUCUUGAUGAGCAUCUCCCUGAUGUUCCCGCUCUGUUGGAGGGAGCAGACACUUCAGAGGAUGGGAUGGGGGAUCUGGAGGAUGGCCACACCACCAGUAGUGAUGCUGGACUGCUACUCCCAUCUGCUUAUGUUCUGGGCUCCUGCCCUGACAUCCAGAUUGAUCCAGUGAUGGAGACAGAGGAGGAUAGUCCCAAGAAGUGCUCUGUGCAACGGCCCUGCAGCUUGGGGAGAGAAUUGGGAACACCAGAGGCCCUGCCACAAAGCCCAUCAGACCCUGUUCAGCCCCUUCCCCUGCUCUCAUCCUCCCCGACUGCUCCCAUUGGCACCUUCAGCUUUGAGCCCCUCAGCAGCCCCGAUGGACCAGUGGUCAUCCAGAACCUGCGCAUAACCGGCACCAUCACUGCCCGUGAGCACAGCGGGACUGGCUUCCACCCCUACACCUUGUACACCAUCAAGUAUGAGACAGCCCUGGAGGGUGAGGUUGCAGGCAGCCUUCAGCAGAUGGCCUACCACACUGUGAACCGCCGCUACCGGGAGUUCCUCAACCUGCAGACCAGGCUGGAGGAGAAACCGGAGCUCCGCAAGUUCCUGAAAAAUAUCAAAGGACCAAAGAAACUGUUCCCUGAUCUCCCAUUUGGAAAUAUGGACAGCGAUAAAGUGGAAGCCAGAAAAAGUCUGCUGGAAUCUUUCUUGAAGCAAUUGUGUGCAGUCCCUGAGAUUGCAAACAGUGAGGAGGUGCAGGAGUUCCUUGCUCUGAACACCGACGCCAGGAUUGCGUUUGUCAAGAAGCCCUUUGUUGUCUCCAGGAUAGACAAGAUAGUUGUAAAUGCCAUUGUGGACACCCUGAAGACAGCAUUCCCCAGGUCAGAGCCCCAGAGCCCCACAGAGGAUCUGAGUGAGUCUGAAGUGGAUGGGAAAUAUCAGCCAGAUGGGAAGAAGGCAAACAAGUCCAGGCUGAGGUUCCCAUCCAGCAGAAUCACUCCAGUGAUGAGUGUGAGUGAAGCACAUGACAGGAUUGUGUACUCUGUGAGGGAGGGCAGUGCUGUCUCUGGCACGCUGUCGCUGGCUGCUAUGGAGUCCUUCAUCCAGAAGCAGGAGAAGCUGCUGGCAGCAGUCCCCAGCAAAGCUCCUGAGGGCGAGGGGAGCGAAGAAGCCAAGGAAAAAUCUGUGCAGGAGGAUACAGAUGGGCUGAACACGUUGGAGCAGGGAGCACAUCUGGACACGGACACGGACUCUGAGACUGCUUUGGCUGACCUGGCCCUGGACUUGCUGCGUUUACUGCUGAUGGAUCACUGGAGCUGGCUGUGCAUAGAGAAUAUCCAGAAGGUCUUCCACCUGCUCUUUGGGACCCUCAUUCAAAGGUGGCUGGAAGUCCAGGUGGUCAACCUGACCUGCACCCAGCGCUGGGUGCAGUACCUCCAGCUGCUGCAGGAGUCCAUCUGGCCUGGAGGAGUUCUGCCAGAAGUGCCCAAACCAGCCAGGACAGAGGAACAGAAGAAAGCAGCUGCAGAGCAGGCCCUGCAGAGCCUGAUGGGGAUCUUGCCUAAUGUGGUCCAAGAAAUCCUUGGAACCGAUAAAUGUCGCAUGAGCUGGAGCCUGGUGCUGGAGUCCUUGGGCCAUCCUGUUAUAAACAGGUUCCUUCUGUAGCGGCCAGAUCAUCUUGAGCAUCAGGCAGCAGUGCUGGCUGGAUCUCGGAUGCUGUUUGCUUGGGUAAGGCUCACUGACUUCUGCUGCUCAGGAAAUACCCCCAAACCCACCUGUGGACGCUCACCCCAACCCUCACCCUCCCACCCCAAGGCUCUGGGUUGAUGCUUGCACAUUCCUGCACGAGGACCACCAGCAGUAGAGGGAUUUGCUGCAGGCUGUGGCAGGUUGCCCUGAGAUGCUCUGAGGAAUCGAACUCUUUCACUGCUCAGGCUUUGGGUGAGUGUUUCACAGCCCUCAGAUAUUGCCAAGCAGAGCGAAGGGGAUGCAACACAGGGCAUCCCAUCCAGCACAGCAGCACCCCUGGGCAUCCUGUCCCUCCUGGAGGUACCACCAUCCCUACAGUACCACCAUCCCCAGGGUACCACCAUCCUCAGGAUGCCACCAGCAUCCCUGGCCGGCAGCACGGCAUGGGCAGCAGGUGCAGGGAUGGAGGCAGGAAACUGUUUAUAGAGCUUAGGAAAAGCUGAGGUUUCUGGCAGGUUCCUGAGACGCUGGGUUUGGCCCAGGGCUCCGCUGUAUAAAUUGUGGGAUUAGAGUCAAACAUGAAACCGGAGCAAGAGGCCAAAGGCAGAGCUGGCAGCUGGCUGGAAGGACUUUUUUCUCUGCGCAUGUCCAAGGGAUGCUUUUGGAGGAGAGAAGGGUAAGAAAGAAAGGGGAGCCAGCAAAACAGGGGUGAAAAUGACCCCAAAAAUAAGAAGGAUGCAACAAGAAGGCAGUGGUGAAGUGAAUGCAGAGGCUUCUUGGUGGGAAGCAUCUGCAUAGAAAGGUUGCAGAGGGGAUGGGAAAAGUCACCAUCUCCCAGUGUCACACCGGGUGCUCCCUGACCUGGCACCAGUCCUCGCUGACACCCAGCACUGCCCUGCUCAUGGUGCUGUGAUUUUAUCCCUGGUUCUGCUCGAGGUGCUGUUUCUGAGUUCACAGCCGUGCACUGGGCUGACCUCCCGCUCCCCGCGCUGUUUGGUUUGGAUUAGCUGACUCACGGCUGUUUGGUGGGGCCAAGGCAAAAACACAUCCAUCCAUGCAGGGCACAGAGGGAGAUCUUCUCUACAAAGCACUGAUGCGAUGUGAGGUUGGCAGGAGAGCAAUGUUUUCCCGAGAGCCUUAGCAAAACCUGUGAUUUUUCAUAGAAAGUUCCCUACUUGCUGUAGGUAUCUCCCAGCACCAAGGGAUGCACAGAUUUCCAACAUCAGCAAUGUUAUCUCUGUCCUCCCAGCUUUGUUUUCCCUAAGCAGCCGCACAGACGUGCCUGGGAUGGAAGUCAGACAUGGUCUGAAUAGACACGAGGAAUUCAAGCUGAGAAAGUCAGACCCUGUGCACAAAGCAGGAAUUGGAAAGCAGAGCCACUCAGUCCCUGUGUUGCCUUCUUGCUGCCAUGGGCAUCUUCUAAAGACCCCAUCCUUUCACCAGAUGGUCCUUCGGCCCAUCAGGAGACACAUGACCCUCCAAGAUGGGUGUCAGCUCCCUAUUUCUUCUUCUCCUGGCUGUUGGAAAGGCAUCCCUGUGUGCUCAUCACUUUCUCCAUUUACAAGUUCUUUCUCUAAACUCCCCAGCCAGGAUCUGGCUCUGUCUCCUCCAUCAUCAGCACUGCCCAUCCAUCUGCAAGGGGCUGGAAGCAUCGGGGUAAGCUGGGAGGCUCAGAUGUGAAUGCAGCCCCAGGUUGCUCAACUUUCUUCUCUUUCCCAAGUUUCUUCUCAGUCCCAGGUUUGGUCUCAGCUCAAGGCAGAAAGAAGGGUGAAGCAGCAAGAUUUGGAUCAGACCCAAUGUUAGGCACGGAGUUGUUCCCAGUAACAUUCCUUCCUGCAAACCAGAGUGCCGGUUCAAAGCAGAUGGGUUGGUAGCACUCCCAAAUUCCUCGUUGUGCUGGAAUUUAUGCAAAAUGUAUAGAAUUAAUGAGCGCAGGGGAAAGGCACUUGGACCGUCCUCACGUUCCUGACCUCUGUGCCACCGCUCCACUCUGCUGUAUGUCACCCAGUGCUCUCCCCAGACAAUGUCCCAUUGAUUGCCCAAGGGGAUCAUGGCACUGGGGGGGCCGUGCUGAUGCUCUGCAGCGUGGCUGGGCACUGCUGGGCUGUUGGGAACACAUUGCACAAUGCCCAGCCUGUGUCUGUUGGUGCAUCACCAACACAGUGUCACAGGGGGCAACACAAGGGUCUCAUGGUGCAGGGGCACAGACAUGCCUUUCUCGGGACGAUGAGAGUCAUUGAUUUAUUCCCUUUUCACACUGGAAACAGAAUGCCCUUUAAAAAGAAAGCUUGAGCAGCGCUGCCCCCCUCUCACCCUGCUGCAAACCCUGAGCUCACCGUGGGUGAUGUGACCCAUCUGGAGGAGAACCCAGCCCCUUGCUCACAGAGCAUCCAUCAGAACCUCUUCCCAUGGGCAGUGUCCCUAGAUUCCUAUUUUUCAGCUGAGUCUGGGGGGAAGAAGAGCUCAGUCAAGAAACUCCUGGCCCAGCUGCAGUUUGCAGUGCAGGGCAGGAACCCAGGCGUUGCUGAGCAAGGUACCAGCAUGGCCAUGGGAUGCGUGGCAGCUCUGAGGGCUGGGAUCCCCGUCCCUAUUCUGUCCCCAGGGCCAUGCAGGGGCUUUGCUCAUCCCAGCUGCCCUGUGCCACGCAGGGAUGCUGCUUGAUUGUGUUUUACUUAACCUUUAAUACCAUGUUAUUUCUAUUUAAGCCUCAUUCCAAAACAGAGCCUACAAGUGAUAACAGAGCAAACAGACCUUCUGUCCCCUCUCCCUCCCCGAGGAAAUAUUUUUAGCUCUCGUAAACACAAACCAUUUAAGCACUUGAGAGCAUCCCAAGGGAUGCAGCCUUCCUCUCCAUCCUUUGCAGCCUACAGCACAACCCCAAAUCACACCCUGAUUUCUGGGCUCAGGCACCAUUGCAGGCACAGCUCUGCAAAGCAGGCAAUAAACUGGGAGUUACUUUCAAAGGAAACCCAAAGGAAGAAGCUGUUCAGAGCUCAGCUGGCUUUCCCACAAUGUCUCAUGGCUCUGAAAAAAUCUCGUCCCUGUUGCUCCUGCUCCCAAAUGCAGUGCAGGAGAUGCUGAGCUGAGGUGACUGGUGAGCACCAAAAUGCAUCUCUCCAACAUCUGCUUCCAGCUUUGGUCACAGAAUCACUGCACUUCUCACCAAGUGUUCCUAAAAAUUCAUGGAAAAUUCAUCCAUAGAGUGUGCUGAGCACAAGAUGUCCCCAGGAAUAGGGACAGCCAAGAAAAGGUUGGAGGAAGCCACCAGUGCUGGGAAAGGAAACUGGGAAAUGCUUUGAUGAGAGCACAUAUGGUGCGUGCUUGGAUGCAGCAGUCCGCCAAAGAAGCUGGGGACUGGGACAUGGUUUGGGACAGAAAGAGACUGUGGGACCUGGGGUGGCUUUGCAGAGCUUGGCUGGCUGGGGAGCUGCAGCCUGGGGAAGGGGCUCAGUGGCACUCGGAUGGAGCGAGAUCAGAGCUGGGCUCACAUCCAAGGUUCAGGGCAGGGCACAACUGCAAAUUUCCCAAGCUACCCAAGCUCCUGGGCCUGCAGCUCUGCAGCCUCCUGGGAUCAGAUUCCCAUAAUGGAUUCCCAGCUGCAAAGAUAGAAAGCAUCCCAAAAGGGGCAAAGUACCAUCUGCUGAGCAGCCUCGUUCUCAGGCUAUUUGGGGUAUUUUUAUUUCUGAAGAAAGCAGAGAGCCAGGAGGAAUUUCACCCUGAUUCCAAACUCCUGUUUUCCUUCUCCCUUCCCCUGCAGUGAUGCAACCCCAUCCAACAGUAGCAGCUCUUCCCUCCAUCCUGUCCCCUCUUGCUGUGAAAGCAUCCCAUUGCCAUCACGUGCAAAAGGGCACAAACCUGAGCUCUGCUUUCUCCCUCCGUUAGGCAUGUCUAGAAGUGAUUUUCCCAGUUCAACCCAGUAAGUGACUUACGGCAUCCAUGGGACGUGCCAGGUGGUCCCUUUGGUCUGUGGAUGCAUUUGGUUUUGGUCAGGGCCACAGGAGCCAUCUGAGUGCUUCCUCUGAGCGUGCCAUGAGUAGCCCCAAUGCUGAACUAAUGUUAUCUUAGCAAAUGGCUUUGUUAUGGCUGGGGGAUUCCUUGAGGGGCAGUUUUUAAUCUCGCAAGGCAGCAAUCCUGAUGCAGGGGGAAGUCUUUCACUAUCGGCUCUGAGUGGCUCUCAGGUGGGAGAUUAGGGGAAAGGCACACGAAUCCCAUUCCCAAAGAAGGAAAACGUGGAGUCUCUUUGCUGAGGUGUGGGAAUGCCUGGGGGAUGCUCAGUGCAGCUCCAACCACAUGAAUGCCAUCACAUCCACAGCAGCACCACCUCUCCUUUACUCUUUUUGUUCAUCCCCACGCAGCCCAACCCAGUGUGCCCAUUGCCCACAUCCCUCAGUGCCACAUCCCCACAGCUCUGCAACACCCCCAGGAAUGGUGACCCCCCCACACCCCUGGGCAGCUGUGUGAUGCAGCACUGCUCUCCUCCCCAGAAACUGAAACUGGUCCUUGGAAAGAAGCAGAGAAGCAGAAGAAGGGCUGAAUCCUGAGGAUGCAAAGUGCUUUGCGUAUCCCCUGCAGCCAACCAGCCUCUGCUACAGCAAAGCAAUGGAAUUUCUUGCAAACGUCCUGAUCUAUCUGAUAUUUUCCUGACCUAUCCCCAAAAAGCCAGUCCUAAUGUCUAGAACAAGGAGGACACGGCUGCGCCUGCAUCUCCUAACCUACUGGCAUCCAUUGGCUGCAUCCAUCCGUCUCCCUGCGCUUUAUCAACAUCUCCAGCCUCUGUGCCACGAGGGGAAUGUCAUCGGGUUUUUAUCUCCUUUCUGCUCUGGGCUUAUCAGUGAUUUGUUUAAUUCGAGUUUAUGGCUUCCCUUGUUCAUUUUGUCACUGGGUUUCCUCAAUCCCGAUGGCUGCCGAAAGGAGACAAUGAAAUUUUAAAUAAAUAAAUAAAUGAAGGCAAAUAAUUAUCAUUU
Molecule: RNA transcript, 8196 nt
Organism: Tympanuchus pallidicinctus (lesser prairie-chicken)
Lineage: Eukaryota; Metazoa; Chordata; Aves; Galliformes; Phasianidae
Gene: SNX19
Gene name: sorting nexin 19
Exons: 13
Source: RefSeq, a predicted model, not a curated record